UACAGAGGUGGCAAGCGUUGUUCGGAAUUACUGGGCGUAAAGGGCGCGUAGGCGGCCUACUAAGUCAGACGUGAAAUCCCCCGGCUUAACCUGGGAACUGCGUCUGAUACUGGAAGGCUUGAGGAUGGGAGAGGGAUGUAGAAUUCCAGGUGUAGCGGUGAAAUGCGUAGAUAUCUGGAGGAAUACCGGUGGCCAAGGCGGCAUCCUGGACCAUUACUGACGCUGAGGCGCGAAAGCUAGGGGAGCAAACGGG
Molecule: ribosomal RNA, 253 nt
Filed under: uncultured bacterium
Lineage: Bacteria
Description: partial 16S ribosomal RNA
Rfam family: Bacterial small subunit ribosomal RNA
Source: RNAcentral